This 23-nucleotide microRNA is filed under the name Chrysemys picta bellii (western painted turtle). RNAcentral's name for it is "Cpi-Mir-9590_3p* (star (passenger))". The record is from RNAcentral. Lineage: Eukaryota; Metazoa; Chordata; Testudines; Emydidae. RNAcentral also lists the same sequence under 1 other name.
CUGGAGAUGCUCAGCACUUCUGA